Molecule: long non-coding RNA, 277 nt
Filed under: Hordeum vulgare
Lineage: Eukaryota; Viridiplantae; Streptophyta; Magnoliopsida; Poales; Poaceae
Description: long non-coding RNA (HVUL_LNC001145)
Source: RNAcentral
AACAAGCCUCUUAAAAAUAAAUAAAACUGAUGGUGAGGUGUGACGGACCCAAUAAAGAAGGAACGAAUGUUGUGUAAAGAAUUAAGGGGUGUGUGUGUGUGGCUAUAACGUGCAACAAGAGUGAACCAGGCCAGACGUUUGAUUUCAAAGUGAAGCAAGGAUGAGCUUGGGACGGUAGCGUGAGGAUGCGCUAGAGGUCAUGACAGUGGAGGCAUUGCUGAAAUGCAAUUGAACAUGUCCUAAGUUAGUGAUACUUGAACUCGAAACCAUAUUUUGC